This 73-nucleotide transfer RNA is filed under the name Acidobacteriota bacterium. RNAcentral describes it as "Acidobacteria bacterium tRNA-Ala". It matches the Rfam family "tRNA". Rfam says of the family: Transfer RNA (tRNA) molecules are approximately 80 nucleotides in length. The record is from RNAcentral. Lineage: Bacteria; Pseudomonadati; Acidobacteriota. RNAcentral also lists the same sequence under 3 other names.
GGGGCUGUAGCUCAGUUGGUAGAGCGCCUCCAUGGCAUGGAGGAGGCCAGGGGUUCAAUUCCCCUCAGCUCCA